GGGUAUAGUUUUUAAUAAAAUUUUAAAACAACUUAUUUUGUCAGGAUCGUAAGAUAGCAGCAUGAAGAUUGAAUUAAUUAUUUGUAUUAAUACUAUACCUUUGAU
RNAcentral lists this non-coding RNA (105 nucleotides) under Chaetoceros costatus. The record is from RNAcentral. Lineage: Eukaryota; Bacillariophyta; Thalassiosirophyceae; Chaetocerotales; Chaetocerotaceae.